CCAUUUGGUGUGCCCUGACUCUGAAUGUUUCUCCCUGCAGCCCCCUGCAGAGGCCAGCUCCUCUGCUGCAGCCAGACCAAAGCCGGACAAGAAGCCCCUCCGCAGUGCAGACUACAGUCCCCUGAGUGGACAGGAGGGGGGCUCCUGCACCUUCAGGCCUGGCAGGAGGGGGCCGUCAGCUGGUGGAUGAGGUUAAAGAAGGUCAGAGAUGUUGAUCUGUAUGACCUUUGACCUCUGACAUCUUGAUGUGCAAACUGACUGGAGGGGGCUCAAACUUCACCGAGAUGUUGUUGUUUUUUGACUCCUGUUUGAUUCCUUAUUUACUCUGUAAUCUCUCAAAGAUAACCGAUAAUCGUCCAUUGUGCAUCUUGAAGUUGAGAGCUUGUAAUGAUGCCAUUCCUGUAAGCGGUGUUACCAGCAGGUUUGGCUGAUGAACUUCAGUCAGUGUGUUUUUUCUCAUGUGUUUGAAUAUGUUUCCAUUAAUGUGUUCCACCUACGCUUUUAACAUGUAUGUUGCUAGAGAAGUUGUAGCUAGUGGACAUGUGGUUGAUUAUUAAAAAUACUACAUUCAGUUAAUGUUUGGAUCCAUCAAAA
This is a long non-coding RNA of Notothenia coriiceps (black rockcod), 594 nucleotides long. RefSeq lists it as uncharacterized. NCBI's taxonomy places the organism in Eukaryota, Metazoa, Chordata, Actinopteri, Perciformes, Nototheniidae. The record is from RefSeq and is a predicted model, not a curated record. The transcript has 2 exons.